GUCGAUUUACAGAUGGCAAAAGCAGUUUACACUUAGCGAUGAACAGCAACACUCCAGAAAUGAUUCAAACAAUUUAUGAAAAGUUCCCACAUUUAAUGAUGGAACGUGAUGUCAAUAAUCAAACACCUAUAGAUAUUGCAUUUCAACAAGGAAAUGAUGAAGUAAUUGAAACAACAUUUAGACUUAUUAUAGGUGAUUAUGAUUCCUCGCAUUCCAUGCCUUUGCAAGCUGUUUUUUAUGAAGCAGUCUAUUAUAAGUGGGCUGCAACCAGAUGUGCAUUAACACAAUCCCUUGAUGCAAUACGGGAUCAUAGCGAAGAUAACAUUGUUUUGUACCUUACAAUGAGAUUCAUAAAUCGACUAUAUUUUUAAAAAAGUUCAAGGGAAAACGAAGACGAUGCUUUGAAAUUAAUUGGUAUUGCGAUUAAUUUAAUUAUUUCGAAAUUUGAGGAAAACCCUAUCGUUGUGGAAUGUCUUGGAAUAUUAGUGCAAUCCUUCAACAAGUAUAAAACGUGUAAAAUUAUGAUUAAAGAAGCAUUUACAUCUAUAUCAGAAGUCGUUCAUAAUAAACCCGACGUGUCAUAUAUCUUUGACACUCUUCUUCGUUUAUUUCAAAUCUUUAAAUUUCAUAUUGAUCCAAGUGGAUAUAAACUAUUGCAUAGUCAUGCGUUCGACGUAAUGCAUUAUUGUUUAGAUAAUACUCCUGGAGUUUCACAUGAUUUAAAAUCUCCAAUUUACGCAAUCAAAUUACUUCAUCGAUGUCAUAAAUAUAGCAAACUUGAAUUUGACUUAGUUCAGAACACAAUAGCAGUGAUCCUUUCUGAAAAAAAGGACAUGCUUAAUUUAUGUGCCGAAGUUUUUGUUUCGCUCUAUAUAACCAAGGAACAUUUUGAGGAAUUUCGAAAGGAGCAAAAUACAACAAAACAAGGGAAAAUCAUUGAGAAAAUAAUAAAAUC
Dalotia coriaria is the source of this 955-nucleotide long non-coding RNA. RefSeq lists it as uncharacterized. Lineage: Eukaryota; Metazoa; Arthropoda; Insecta; Coleoptera; Staphylinidae. The transcript has 5 exons. The record is from RefSeq and is a predicted model, not a curated record.